RNAcentral lists this ribosomal RNA (303 nucleotides) under uncultured bacterium. RNAcentral describes it as "bacterial SSU rRNA". It matches the Rfam family "Bacterial small subunit ribosomal RNA", at positions 355 to 675 of the family's 1533-position model. The record is from RNAcentral.
UGGGGAAUAUUGCACAAUGGGGGAAACCCUGAUGCAGCGACGCCGCGUGAGUGAAGAAGUAUUUCGGUAUGUAAAGCUCUAUCAGCAGGGAAGAUAAUGACGGUACCUGAGUAAGAAGCCCCGGCUAACUACGUGCCAGCAGCCGCGGUAAUACGUAGGGGGCAAGCGUUAUCCGGAUUUACUGGGUGUAAAGGGAGCGUAGACGGCAUGGCAAGUCUGAAGUGAAAGCCCGGGGCUCAACCGCGGGACUGCUUUGGAAACUGUUAAGCUGGAGUGCAGGAGAGGUAAGUGGAAUUCCUAGUG